RNAcentral lists this long non-coding RNA (816 nucleotides) under Capsicum annuum. RNAcentral's name for it is "long non-coding RNA (CANN_LNC022186)". The record is from RNAcentral. Lineage: Eukaryota; Viridiplantae; Streptophyta; Magnoliopsida; Solanales; Solanaceae.
AAGACAUUACCUGAUUUUAAUUUAUUUUGUACCCGAAAUAUAAAAAUCUGUCAACUUUAUUACCUACCUUAAUUAAAACAUGACCCAAAAUAAAAAUUGCCUGAAGAAAACAUCAUCCCAAUGUAAUCAAUUUGUUCAAUGAAUUUCGAAUCGAGAAAUCUCUUAGUCAUAACAGUCUUUACAAAUUUCUUCGAGCAAUCUUUCACAACAAACUUAUGAUCAGUUUCGUCAGUGAUUAUUAUUAGUUUCAGUGAUUAACUAAUCUUUGAUUGAAAAAUUGAUUACCAAAAUCCAAUUUAUUUACUCGUGAUCGGAGCUCGGAGCUCCAAUAGGUUCGAUCGAUUUGCUGUUGUUGGUUUUUGUCGGUUGGUAUUGAAUUUUUCCGAUCAUUUGAUGGUGGUGUUUGGCUCUUCACCGAAGCUUCCGAUGCAGAUUGCUACUUGGAGUUUGUUGUUUUGUUGAGCUUGUUCGCCAGUGGUUUGAACGGAGUAAAGGGAUGGAGUUGAGGUGGUGUUAAUGAAGAANNNNNNNNNNNUGAAAGGGCCGACGGUAAUGGUGGAUUCAAUGUUCACGAUUAUGGAAAAAAUGGUCCAUGUAUUGCUGGGUGUUUCUAGUCUAAAAAUAAAAAAUGGGACUCAGGUAUAAUUGGGUUUGGGUAAUGAAUGGUUGGUGGGUUUUUCAAUUUUAGGUAUAAAAUAAAUUAAAAUCAGACAAAUAUUUUGAGAUUAUGUCACAUGUUAUUUUGUUUGGGCUAAGGGUAUAUAUAAGCUAAAAUAUAAAUUACAGGGUGUGUACGUACUCAAAGCAUGAUGAUGG